AACCUAGCACACCUGCGGUGUGUACCUGCGGAAGGAUCAUUACAAGUGACCCCGGUCUAACCACCGGGAUGUUCAUAACCCUUUGUUGUCCGACUCUGUUGCCUCCGGGGCGACCCUGCCUUCGGGCGGGGGCUCCGGGUGGGCACUUCAAACUCUUGCGUAACUUUGCAGUCUGAGUAAACUUAAUUAAUAAAUUAAAACUUUUAACAACGGAUCU
Molecule: unclassified non-coding RNA, 217 nt
Filed under: soil metagenome
Description: partial contains 5.8S ribosomal RNA, internal transcribed spacer 2, and large subunit ribosomal RNA
Source: RNAcentral